This 66-nucleotide transfer RNA is filed under the name bovine gut metagenome. It matches the Rfam family "tRNA". From Rfam's summary of the family: Transfer RNA (tRNA) molecules are approximately 80 nucleotides in length. Their secondary structure includes four short double-helical elements and three loops (D, anti-codon, and T loops). The record is from RNAcentral.
CCGGUAGCUCAGUCGGUAGAGCAGCGGACUUUUAAUCCGUUGGUCGCGGGUUCGAGUCCCGCUCGG